GAAAGCGUGGGGAGCAAACAGGAUAGAUACCCUGGUAGUCCACGCCGUAAACGAUGAGUGCUAAGUGUUAGAGGGUUUCCGCCCUUUAGUGCUGAAGUUAACGCAUUAAGCACUCCGCCUGGGGAGUACGGCCGCAAGGCUGAAACUCAAAGGAAUUGACGGGGGCCCGCACAAGCGGUGGAGCAUGUGGUUUAAUUCGAAGCAACGCGAAGAACCUUACCAGGUCUUGACAUCCUCUGAAAACCCUAGAGAUAGGGCUUCUCCUUCGGGAGCAGAGUGACAGGUGGUGCAUGGUUGUCGUCAGCUCGUGUCGUGAGAUGUUGGGUUAAGUCCCGCAACGAGCGCAACCCUUGAUCUUAGUUGCCAUCAUUAAGUUGGGCACUCUAAGGUGACUGCCGGUGACAAACCGGAGGAAGGUGGGGAUGACGUCAAAUCAUCAUGCCCCUUAUGACCUGGGCUACACACGUGCUACAAUGGACGGUACAAAGAGCUGCAAGACCGCGAGGUGGAGCUAAUCUCAUAAAACCGUUCUCAGUUCGGAUUGUAGGCUGCAACUCGCCUACAUGAAGCUGGAAUCGCUAGUAAUCGCGGAUCAGCAUGC
This 601-nucleotide ribosomal RNA is filed under the name Bacillus thuringiensis. Its description in RNAcentral is "bacterial SSU rRNA". It matches the Rfam family "Bacterial small subunit ribosomal RNA", at positions 755 to 1357 of the family's 1533-position model. Lineage: Bacteria; Bacillati; Bacillota; Bacilli; Caryophanales; Bacillaceae. The record is from RNAcentral.